CAGACCAGGGUCUGUAUCGACCCAGAGCUGGACUGAGGGGUUUUAUACAGACCAGGGUCUGUACCGACCCAGAGCUGGACUGAGGAGGUUUUAUACAGACCAGGGUCUGUAUCGACCCCGAGCUGGACUGAGGAGGUUUUAUACAGACCAGGGUCUGUACCGACCCAGAGCUGGACUGAGGAGGUUUUAUACAGACCAGGGUCUGUGAUCAACCAAGAUGGACUGAGGAGGUUUUAUACAGACCAGGAUCUGUACCGACCCCGAGCUGGACUGAGGAGGUUUUAUACAGACCAGGGUCUGUACCGACCCCGAGCUGGACUGAGGAGGUUUUAUACAGACCAGGGUCUGUACCGACCCCGAGCUGGACUGAGGAGGUUUUAUACAGACCAGGGUCUGUACCGACCCCGAGCUGGACUGAGGAGGUUUUAUACAGACCAGGGUCUGUACUGAGCUGGACUGAGGAGGUUUUAUACAGACCAGGGUCUGUACCGACCCCGAGCUGGACUGAGGAGGUUUUAUACAGACCAGGGUCUGUGAUCAACCAAGAUGGACUGAGGAGGUUUUAUACAGACCAGGAUCUGUACCGACCCAGAACUGAACUGAGGAGGUUUUAUACAGACCAGGGUCUGUACCGACCCAGAGCUGGACUGAGGAGGUUUUAUACAGACCAGGGUCUGUACCGACCCAGAGCUGGACUGAGGAGGUUUUAUACAGACCAGGGUCUGUGAUCAACCAAGAUGGACUGAGGAGGUUUUAUACAGACCAGGGUCUGUACCGACCCAGAACUGGACUGAGGAGGUUUUAUACAGACCAGGGUCUGUACCGACCCCGAGCUGCACUGAGGAGGUUUUAUACAGACCAGGGUCUGUACCGACCCCGAGCUGGACUGAGGAGGUUUUAUACAGACCAGGGUCUGUACCGAGCUGGACUGAGGAGGUUUUAUACAGACCAGGGUCUGUAUCAACCCCGAGCUGGACUGAGGAGGUUUUAUACAGACCAGGGUCUGUACCGACCCCGAGCUGGACUGAGGAGGUUUUAUACAGACCAGGGUCUGUAUCGACCCAGAGCUGGACUGAGGGGUUUUAUACAGACCAGGGUCUGUACCGAGCUGGACUGAGGAGGUUUUAUACAGACCAGGAUCUGUACCGACCCAGAACUGGACUGAGGAGGUUUUAUACAGACCAGGGUCUGUAUCGACCCAGAGCUGGACUGAGGAGGUUUUAUACAGACCAGGGUCUGUACCGACCCAGAACUGGACUGAGGAGGUUUUAUACAGACCAGGGUCUGUACCGACCCAGAGCUGGACUGAGGAGGUUUUAUACAGACCAGGGUCUGUGAUCAACCAAGAUGGACUGAGGAGGUUUUAUACAGACCAGGAUCUGUACCGACCCAGAACUGGACUGAGGAGGUUUUAUACAGACCAGGGUCUGUACCGACCCAGAGCUGGACUGAGGAGGUUUUAUACAGACCAGGGUCUGUGAUCAACCAAGAUGGACUGAGGAGGUUUUAUACAGACCAGGAUCUGUACCGAGCUGGACUGAGGAGGUUUUAUACAGACCAGGGUCUGUACCGACCCAGAGCUGGACUGAGGAGGUUUUAUACAGACCAGGGUGUGUACCGAGCUGGACUGAGGAGGUUUUAUACAGACCAGGGUCUGUAUCAACCCCGAGCUGGACUGAGGAGGUUUGAUACAGACCAGGGUCUGUACCGACCCAGAGCUGGACUGAGGAGGUUCUAUACCUGGUCUGUGUUCAACCAAGAUGGAAGAGGAACGACUCAAACAUCCGAAUCUUAGUGCCAAGGUUACCGUGGAAACAGAGGAGGGGAACUGAUUUGUCUAAGUAACUAAUAUUAAAACAUUAAAAAAAUAAGUGUUAUGUAAAGUUGUUAUUGUCUAUUUGUUGGAGCGUAAACAGAGAAACACCAGAUGGGACGAUGUGCGUUGUUGUCCUGUCAGGAGUGGAUUGAUUGAUUGAUUGAUUGAUUGAUUGAUUGAUUGAUUGAUU
This 2006-nucleotide long non-coding RNA is filed under the name Salmo salar (Atlantic salmon). RNAcentral describes it as "lncRNA (ENSSSAG00000092404.1)". The record is from RNAcentral. Lineage: Eukaryota; Metazoa; Chordata; Actinopteri; Salmoniformes; Salmonidae.